Molecule: ribosomal RNA, 522 nt
Filed under: uncultured bacterium
Lineage: Bacteria
Description: bacterial SSU rRNA
Rfam family: Bacterial small subunit ribosomal RNA
Source: RNAcentral
AGCGAACGUUAGCGGCGGGCUUAACACAUGCAAGUCGAGCGAGAAAGGGGGCUUCGGUCCCCGAGUAAAGCGGCGGACGGGUGAGUAACACGUGGGUAAUCUACCCUUCAGCGGGGGACAACAGUCCGAAAGGACUGCUAAUACCGCAUACGUCAUGACGCCCUGCGGGGCGUUGUGGGAAAGCUGGCCUCUACUUGUAAGCUGGCACUGAAGGAGGAGCCCGCGUCGCAUCAGCUAGUUGGUGAGGUAAUGGCUCACCAAGGCAAAGACGCGUAGCUGGUCUGAGAGGAUGAUCAGCCACACUGGGACUGAGACACGGCCCAGACUCCUACGGGAGGCAGCAGUGGGGAAUAUUGGACAAUGGGCGAAAGCCUGAUCCAGCCACGCCGCGUGAGUGAUGAAGGCCCUCGGGUCGUAAAGCUCUGUGGAGAGGGACGAACCCUCCUCGGUUAACAGCCGGGGAGCUGACGGUACCUCUUUAGCAAGCACCGGCUAACUCCGUGCCAGCAGCCGCAGUAACAC